Molecule: ribosomal RNA, 672 nt
Filed under: Mycena haematopus
Lineage: Eukaryota; Fungi; Basidiomycota; Agaricomycetes; Agaricales; Mycenaceae
Description: eukaryotic LSU rRNA
Rfam family: Eukaryotic large subunit ribosomal RNA
Source: RNAcentral
UUGACCUCAAAUCAGGUAGGACUACCCGCUGAACUUAAGCAUAUCAAUAAGCGGAGGAAAAGAAACUAACAAGGAUUCCCCUAGUAACUGCGAGUGAAGCGGGAAAAGCUCAAAUUUAAAAUCUGGCGGUCCUUGUGGCCGUCCGAGUUGUAAUUUAGAGAAGYGUUAUCCGYGCUAGACCGUGUACAAGUCUCCUGGAAUGGAGCGUCAUAGAGGGUGAGAAUCCCGUCUUUGACACGGACUGCUAGGRCAUUGUGAUGCRCUCUCAAAGAGUCGAGUUGUUUGGGAAUGCAGCUCAAAAUGGGUGGUAAAUUCCAUCUAAAGCUAAAUAUUGAGGAGAGACCGAUAGCGAACAAGUACCGUGAGGGAAAGAUGAAAAGAACUUUGGAAAGAGAGUUAAACAGUACGUGAAAUUGCUGAAAGGGAAACGCUUGAAGUCAGUCGCGUCGUUCAGAACUCAGCCUUGCUUUGCUUGGUGUACUUUCUGUUCGACGGGUCAGCAUCAAUUUUGGUCGGUGGAUAAAGGCUUAGAGAAUGUGGCAUCCUCGGAUGUGUUAUAGCUCUGGGUCGCAUACAUCGGCUGGGAUUGAGGAACUCAGCACGCCGAAAGGCCGGGUACUUGUACCACGUACGUGCUUAGGAUGCUGGCAUAAUGGCUUUAAUCGACCCGUC